UGGGGAAUAUUGCACAAUGGGGGAAACCCUGAUGCAGCGACGCCGCGUGAACGAAGAAUGUAUUCGUAUCGUAAAGUUCUGUCCUAUGGGAAGAUAAUGACAGUACCAUAGAAGAAAGCUCCGGCUAAAUACGUGCCAGCAGCCGCGGUAAUACGUAUGGAGCGAGCGUUGUCCGGAAUUAUUGGGCGUAAAGGGUACGCAGGCGGUUUAAUAAGUCGAAUGUUAAAGAUCGGGGCUCAACCCCGCAAAGCAUUGGAAACUGAUAAACUUGAGUAGUGGAGAGGAAAGUGGAAUUCCUAGUGUAGUGGUGAAAUACGUAGAUAUUAGGAGGAAUACCAGUAGCGAAGGCGACGUUCUGGACACAAACUGACGCUGAGGUACGAAAGCGUGGGGAGCAAACAGG
RNAcentral lists this ribosomal RNA (403 nucleotides) under bacterium. Its description in RNAcentral is "partial 16S ribosomal RNA". It matches the Rfam family "Bacterial small subunit ribosomal RNA", at positions 355 to 776 of the family's 1533-position model. The record is from RNAcentral.